CAUAACUAAGCAUUUGAAAUCUGGUGUGUAUUUUAUACUUAUAGCAUAUCUCAGUACUUGAUUUCGUAAAAUUUCCAGCUGAAAAAAUAGAUUCACAUACCCAAGUCGUUCCAAGCAUACUUACAAGUUUUACGGUAAUCGAAUCGUGUAUAUUUUUAAAUUUUAUUUUAAAUUAAAGUUAGGAUUAUGAAUUCGGUUCCUAAAUUAACCUCAUUUCACUUCCUGCAUUUCAAGUGGGACAAGUUGUUACCAUAUUGGACAAUGCAGUCUAGUGAAAUAGAGGAUAGUGGAAAGUCAGACUUAAAAAGUUGUUUAGAACCAGCUCUGGAAGGUCUUGGAUGUCAGAUUAAAGGACUGAGAUUUUACCCUUGAGUCAGGCAGAAUAAUGGAUGGUUUUUGAACUAAGGAGUGACACAAUGUUGUGCUUAUGACUAGAAAGAGACCACUAGGUGGCCAGCUGGUGAGUCAGGACACCCUUCAGUUGCUUUGACUUCAGCCCUGUGGAUUCAAAGUCUGAUUUUUGUCAGCGCUCUAAAGCAGUCUCACCAAAAGUGUUCACAAGGCAGUGCCAGUCUGUAAGCCCUUUGUUACACAUCCAUGACAAGGCAUUUACAGAAAGUAAGAAUUUAAAAACUUACAGCAAUUUAACAGACUAAUUUUAUUUCUGUGGGUCUAAUAAAAAUUUGAGGGAUUGUACUUUGCAUAUAUCUUUAUUUCCCUUUUUUUGUUUGUUUUUUGUGUUUGAGAUGGGAGUCUUGUUUUGUCGCCAGGCUGGAGUGCAGUGGUGCAGUCUCGGCUCACUGCAACCUCUGCCUCCUGGGUUCAAGCGAUUCUCCUGCCUCAGCCUCCCGAAUAGCUGGGAUUACAGGUGUGCGCCACCACAUCCAGCUAAUUUUUGUAUUUUCAGUAGAGACAGAGCUUCACCAUGUUGGCCAGGAUGGUCUUGAUCGCCUGACCUUGUGAUCCGCCUGCCUCGGCCUCCCAAAGUGCUGGGAUUACAGACGUAAGCCACCGUGCCCAGCCUUUUUUUCCUUUUUAGUUUUUUUUUUUUCUUUUUUGAGACAGAAUUUCACUCUUAUUGCCCAGGCUGGAGUGCAAUGGUGUGAUCUUGGCUCACCGCAACCUCUGCCUCCCGAGUUGAAGCGAUACUCCUACCUCAGCCUCCCAAGUAGCUGGGAUUACAAGCAUGCACCACCAUACCCUGCUAAUUUUGUAUUUUUAGUAGAGACGGGGGUUUCUCCGUGUUGGUCAGGCUGGUCUCCAACUCCCAACCUCAGGUGAUCUGCCUGCCUUGGCCUCCCAAAGUGCUGGGAUUACAGGUGUGAGCCACUACACCCAGCCGUUUUUUUCUUUUUCUAAUAAUUUUUAUCAUAUUACAUGAAAGUACCUAUGGUCUCACAGAUGAAGGGAGUCAGAAAAACCAAACUCCCAGAAGACAUGUAAAUCUAAAUGCCUUUUUUACUUUAGAGUGAAAACUGUAAUAGCUAAAUUGUAAUGGACAUCUGCUCAUUUUCUCCCUCCAUGUAGACAUGGAAAGCUACAUGGAAAUAACCGAGUUUAUAGUAGCUAUCAUAUAUUAAACGUUUCCUGUAUGCCAGCCACUGUGCAAAGCCUAUUAUAUAUAUUGUCUCAUUUAAUCCUCACAACUCUGUAAAAUAAGUAUUGUUUGCCCCAUUUUUCCAGUGAAGAAACUGAGGCUAAAAUAGGUUGAAUAACUUACCUAAAUUCACCAUCCUCAAAGGUGUUAAAGGCAGGAUUCCAGUAUAGGUCUCUCAUUUCCUUCAUGAUUAGGAAUACUACUUUGAAAUGAGAGACCUGUACUGUAUCUGUUAAUUCCAAAUUCCCUGGCAUAAAGACUCAGUACAUUGUUUAAAGAGAACGCAUGAAGUUAACUGCAUUACCUUUUGGAGGGUUCAUUUGUGAAUUUGGGGCCAAAAUAAGGGGAGUUACUGGUAUUCUAAUAGCAUCAAACAAAUGAAUUCAUUUCUUCUUUUGGGGAGGUGGAGGGAAUAAGGUCUCACCUUGUUGCCCAUGCAGGCUGGAAGGCCGUGAUGUGAUCUCAGCUCACUGCAGCCUCAAUCUGGGCUCAAGCGAUCCUCCCACCUCAGCCUCCUGAGUAGCUGGGACUACAGGUGCACACCACCGUGCCCAGCUCAUUUUUGUAUGUUUUGUAGAGACUGUUUUGCCACGUUGCCCAGGCUGUUCUCAAACUCCUGAGCUCAAGUGAUCCUCCCACCUCAGCCUCCCAAAGUGCUGGGAUUAGAGGUGUAAUCCACCACACCCAGCCAAAUGCAUUCAUGUCUACAAUAGAAAUACAUCUCUUUGCUCCUAUCUUGAAUUUGUAGACUCCCACAAAUCAAUAAAAAAGAAGACAUCCAAUAAAAAAAUGGGUAGAGGCCCAGGCAGGCAGAUCACCUGAGGUCAGAAGUUUGAGACCAGCCUGGCCAACAUGACAAAACCCUGUCUCUACUAAAAAUAUAAAAAUUAGCUGGACGUAGUGGCACGUACCUGUAAUCCCAACUACUCGGGUGGCUGAGACAGGAGAAUUGCUUGAACCCAGGAGGCAGAAGUUGCAGUGAGCCAAGAUCGUGCCACUGCACUCCAGCCUGGGCGACAGAGCAAGACUCCAUCUUAAAAAAAAAAAAAAAAAAGGGCAGAAACUUAAACAGUCACCUCACAAAAAAGUGUAUCUAAAUAUUAGUUUCUUAAAAAAUAAAAAAGGGGCAUGUAGAUGGCCGAGAAACAUGUAAAAGAUACUCAACUAAUUUAAUCACUAGAGAAAUGCAAAUUAAAACCUAAAUGAGAUUUUAAUCUCACAUCCAACAGAAUGGCUAAAAUGGAAAACCCAGAAAAUGCCAAAUGUUGGUCAAGAGUUGGAGUAACUGAAACUACACGGCUGCUGGAAAUGUAUAUUGGUAUAACCACUUUGGAAAAUGGGAAGUUCAACAAACAAGCAAUUUAGGGAUAUAUGUUUAGGUAGUAAAAGUAUAAAGAAAAGAAAUAGUUUUGCAGGGAGUAGUGCUUGGGAGGUAAUAGGUGCUUCUGGAGUGCUGUUGAUGUUCUGUUCCUAAGUAGGGUGCUGUGGCUUGAGUUUGGUUUGCCUGACCCUACCAAGUCUCAUGUUAAAAUUUGAUCCCCAGUGUUGGAGGUGAGGCCUGGUGGGAAGGGUUGUGGGAGUGGAUUUCUCAUGAGUGGCUUUGUAUUCUGUAAGGAGUGAGUUCAUUAAGAGACUGGCACCUCCUCUCUCCUUUCUCUCGCUAUGUGAUCUCUGCAUAUGUCAUCUCCUGUCUGCCUUCCACCAUGAGCAGCCUGAAGCCUUCACUGGAAGCAGAUACUGCUACCAUGCUUCUUGUACAGCCUGCAAAACCGUGAGCCAAAUAAGCCUAACAUUCUAAGACACUGGGAUUACAUGAGUGUUUACUCUAUGAUUUAUUGAGAAGUAGGUGUUUUGGAGAAAAAUGUACUUUCAGUAUGUAUAUUAUAUAUUUCAUGGUUAUUUUUAAAACUCGUGAGCAAUGCUGGAUACACACUACCAACUAUUACUUCCCUGACUGAGCCAAUUUUUCUGUAAAUGCAUCACAAAUGUGAAAGAUAAGAUAGGCCUGAAUUCUGGGGAAUGACAAUGGUGAAGGAAAGGCGAGACAGAUGCAAAAGACACUGCAGAACUCAGGCUUAAAAUCUCAUCCUUAACUCCUUCCCUCAUCCCACCAUGUUGAAUCAGAUGUCAAUAGCAAUUUUAUAUGGCAUUUUUUAAGCUUGCAAAAAGUUAUAAACACAGAAAAUGUUCAUUUUAUCACCCUAUCACAGACGAAAAACAUGAAAUUAAGCUAGGAAACAUGUUCAGGUGAUUAGAGUAGGUAGAACAUAGACUAAAAACCAGUGAACUUAUUUAAAAAAAUGCCAUGAUGUGGACACAAAAAAAGAACUUGUGGCUCCUCACUCCAACUCCUGUGACUCUCUCACCUUACCCCCACUGCCUUCAAGUUUUUUGUAGAAAGAGAAAUUUUAUAUGGAUUGAGUUGAAGAUGAUGCCAGAAUAUCAAGGUAGAAUUAUUAAACAGACACAAAAGCUAAGGUUUGGUACUCUGAAAAAAGGUCAGAAUUAGUGAUAGAAAAUUAGAAGUUACCCAUCCAUAGAAGGGUAAUAAAGCCAUGAGAGUGAAGGAAACCAGUGAGAGACAAUGUUGAGAAAAGUACUGAAGGACAGAGAAGGAGAAGUGAAGGAGGAAAGCAAAUCAGCAUUUAUUGAGCAUCUGUUAAACUGUAUGCCAGCUGUUCUACAUUUACUAUCUGAUUUAUUCCUUUCCAUUUCCAAGGUAGCCAAUUUUAGCCUCAUUUGAUAGACUGACUUUGUAGACUCAAAAAGCAGUAAAAAGAACCAGCAUUCAAAACCAGCUUGACUCCAGUUUAUUCGGUGUACUACACCAUUCCUGGAGAUGCCAGGCGUGGUGGCACACACCUGUAGUCCCAGCUACUCAGGAGACUUGCAUGAGCCCAGAAGUUUGAGACUGCAAUGAGCCAUGAUUAUGCCAGCUUGGGUGACAGACCAAGACCUUGUCUCAAGAAAAAAAAAAAAUUGCCAAUUGCGGUGGCUCAUGCCUGUAAUCCCAGCACUAGGAGGCCGAGGUGGGUGAAUCACCUGAGGUCAGGAGUUUUGAGACCAGCCUGGCCAACGUGGCAAAACCUCGUCUCUACUAAAAAUGCAAAAAUUACUAGGACAUGUUGGUGAGCAGCUGUAAUCCCUGCUACUCAGGAGGCUGAGGCAAGAGAAUCUCUUGAACCCAGGGGGUGGAGGUUGCACUGAGCCGAGAUCAUGCCAUUGUACUUCACCUCUGGACAGAGGGAAACUCUGUCUCCAAAAAAAAAAUAUGGAGGGCUGGGCACGGUGGCUAACACCUGUAAUCCCAGCACUUUGGGAGGCCAAGGCGGGUGGAUCACAAAGUCAGGAGUUCAAGACCAGCCUGGCCAACAUAGUGAAACCCUGUCUCUACUGAAAAUACAAAAAUUAGCCAGGCAUGGUGGCACACGCCUGUAGUCCCAGCUACUGGGGAGGCUGAGGCAGGAGAAUCGCUUUGAACCUAGGAGGCGGAGGUUAUGGUGAGCUGAGAUCGCAUCAGUACACUCCAGCCUGGGCAACAAUGCGAGAUUCCAUCUCAAAAAAAUAAAUAUUUGGAGUCCCAUAAUAAAUAAAUAAAUAAAUAUUUGGAGUCCAAUGUGAUAGUAUCUGGAGAUGGGGCCUUUGGAGGUAAUAUGGGUUAGAUAGGUCAUGACGGUAGGGCCCUCAUUAUGGGAUUAGUGGCGUUAGAAGAAGAAGAGAGAAAUCUUCCUCCUCAAGAGCAGAGGAAAAGCCAUAUAAGAAUACAGUGAGACGGCCACUUGCAAACCAGAAAGGGAGCCCCCACCAGGAACCAAAUUGGCUGGCACCUUGAUCUUGGACUUCCCAUGCUCCAGAACUAUGAGAAAUAAAUUCCUAUUAUUUAAGCCCAUGGUAGUUUUAUGGCAUCCUGAGCUAAGACAACGUGUCUCUAGUUUCCCACAGAUUCAUAAAGGUCCAUACAAAAAAUGUUAUAACUGUUAAUAGUGUCCUGUCCUUGAAUUUAACAGCAACCAACAUAUUGUUUGUGUAGUUCUUGCGCCAUUUGGAAACAGUGACCUUUAGGUGUUGCAGGUAACUAUUGGGAAAUCCUUCAAUUUGUUUAACGUUUCCAUAUUUUGAUUUGCAUCUUGGGAGUUGCUUGGAAUUUGGGAUCCUCUUCUGUCUCUUGAAUUGAAAUCAGAGGCUGCUUGCCGGGCAAGGUGGCUCACGCCUGUAAUCCCAGCACUUUGGGAGGCCCAGGCAGACAGAUCACCAGAUGUCGGGAGUUAGAAACCAGCCUGGGCAACAUAGUGAAACCCCGUCUCUACUAAAAAUACAAAAAUUAGCCGGGCGUGCUGGUGCACGCCUGUAAUCCUAGCUACUUGGGUGCUGAGUCAGGAGAAUUGCUUGAACCUGGGAGGUGGAGGUUGCAGUGAGCCAAGAUCGUGUCACUGCACUCCAGCCGGGGCAACAGAGCAAGACUCUGCCUCAAAAAAAGAAAUCAGAGGCUGGGCAUAGUGGCUCAUGCCUAUAAUCCCAGCACUUUGGGAGGCCAAGGCAGGUGGAUCCCUUGAGGCCAGGAGUUCAAGACCAGCCUGGGCAACAUGGCGAAAGCCUAUCUCUACUAAAGAUACAAAAGAUUAGCUGGACGUGAUGGUGUGUGCCUGUAAUCCCAGCUACUCAAGAGGCUGAGGCACAAGAGAAUUGCUUGAACACAGGAGGUGGAGGUUGCAGUGAGCCAAGAUCACACCACUGCAUUCCAACCUGGGGCAACAGAGUGAGACUCUGUCUCAAAAAAAAAAAAAAAAAAAAAAAAUCAGAGAUAAUAUAAAUGCAGGUGUAAACUCAUACACUUAAUGGGCUAUAAAUUUUGGAACUGGCUGUGAUAAUAUAACAAAAGUCAUAAUGGGCUGUGAGUGGUAUUAAAUGUGGGAUUAACUGGAUAUUUAAUGAUACCAAAGAAUCAUUAAUUUUGUUUGGCUAUGAUGUUUUAUUAUUAGAAUGAUGUUAUGAUUAAAUUUUAUUUUUGUCUGGAUACAGUCGCUCACACCUGUAAUCCCAGCACUUUGGGAGGCCGAGGCAGAUGGAUCACUUGAGGCCAGGAGUUCCAGACCAGCCUGGCCAACACAGCGAAACCCCAUCUCUACUAAAAAUACAAAAAAUUAGCCAGGCCUGGUGGUGCACGCUUGUAAUCCCAGGUACUUGGGAGGCUAAGGCAGGAGGAUCACUUGAACCCAGGGGAGGCUGCAGUGAGCUGAGAUCGCACCACUGCACUCCAGCUUGGGCAACAGAGCAAGACUCCGUCUUAAAAAGAAGAAAGAAAUUCUAUUUUUUAAAUGUUUUUUCCUUUUAUUGAACUCCAUUUAUAGCCUUUCCAUUCAGAGCAUAAAGAUUAAAUUUUAAAACAACGCUUGGCACCCUGGCUUCUGCCUGUAAUCCCAGCACUUUGUGAGGCCAAGGUGGGCGGAUCACCCGAGCUCAGAAGUUUGAGUCCAGCCUGGCUAACAUGGUGAAACCCCGUCUCUAAAAGAGUACACAAGCCUGGAGCAGUGGUGUGCGCCUGUAGUCCAAGCUACUUGGGAGGCUGAACCAGGAGAACUGCUUGAGCCUGGGAGGCAGAGGUUGCAGUGAGCCAAGAUCGCAUCAUUACACUCCAGCCUGGGUGACAGAGAGAGACCCUGUGCCCCUCAAAAAAAGUGUUUUUUUAAACAAGAAUCUCUUAGGCACACUGAAAUAUUGAAGAGGAAAUUAUAUUAAUAUCUGGGACUUGUUUCCAAAUAAUCUGGAAUUGGGGCAGGGUGUAAAUUGUUGACAAUAUCAAAGAAACGAGGAGUUGGAAUGAUAAUUGUAGAAGCUGCAUGAUAGAUACAUGUUCUUUAUACUUCUGUAUAUGUUGACAUUUUUUAUUAAAUUAUAAUUGUAUAAUGACUAUAAUUAUGCUUUCAUUGUCUAUUCUGUGUGGUUAUGUUACUUGCUGAAAUUAAUACAUAAAGAGUCUUCAACUUAAAUGACUUAUCAAGCAUAAAUAUUAAAAUACUGGAUGUUACUACA
Pongo pygmaeus (Bornean orangutan) is the source of this 7627-nucleotide long non-coding RNA. RefSeq lists it as uncharacterized. Lineage: Eukaryota; Metazoa; Chordata; Mammalia; Primates; Hominidae. The transcript is spliced from 2 exons. The record is from RefSeq and is a predicted model, not a curated record.